GAUGAACGCUGGCGGCGUGCCUAAUACAUGCAAGUCGAGCGAACAGACGAGGAGCUUGCUCCUCUGACGUUAGCGGCGGACGGGUGAGUAACACGUGGAUAACCUACCUAUAAGACUGGGAUAACUUCGGGAAACCGGAGCUAAUACCGGAUAAUAUAUUGAACCGCAUGGUUCAAUAGUGAAAGACGGUUUUGCUGUCACUUAUAGAUGGAUCCGCGCCGCAUUAGCUAGUUGGUAAGGUAACGGCUUACCAAGGCAAGGAUGCGUAGCCGACCUGAGAGGGUGAUCGGCCACACUGGAGCUGAGACACGGUCCAGAGUCCGACGGGAGGCAGCAGUAGCGAAGCUUCCGAAAUGGGCGAAAGCCUGACGGAGCAACGCCGCGUGAGUGAUGAAGGUCUUCGGAUCGUAAAACGCUGUUAUUGGGGAAGAACAAAUGUGUAAGUAACGAUGCACGUCUUGACGGUACCGAAUCAGAAAGCCACGGCUAACUACGU
This 496-nucleotide ribosomal RNA is filed under the name uncultured bacterium. Its description in RNAcentral is "partial 16S ribosomal RNA". It matches the Rfam family "Bacterial small subunit ribosomal RNA", at positions 28 to 506 of the family's 1533-position model. The record is from RNAcentral.